This is a non-coding RNA of Phyllosticta capitalensis, 138 nucleotides long. NCBI's taxonomy places the organism in Eukaryota, Fungi, Ascomycota, Dothideomycetes, Botryosphaeriales, Phyllostictaceae. The record is from the annotation of a GenBank genome assembly.
GCAGCUUUAGCUCACUUGGGAGAGCGCCAGACUGAAGUUUCACUUCGGUUCUUACGAUCUUCCGAACGACUUGCUUCGUCGGAAGCAUCAGCCCUGUGCGGUAUCUGGAGGUACUGUGUUCGAUCCACAGAAGCUGCA